Cavia porcellus (domestic guinea pig) is the source of this 885-nucleotide long non-coding RNA. RefSeq lists it as uncharacterized. The record is from RefSeq and is a predicted model, not a curated record. NCBI's taxonomy places the organism in Eukaryota, Metazoa, Chordata, Mammalia, Rodentia, Caviidae. The transcript is spliced from 2 exons.
GAAACGUUGGCUUCGCUUUGCCCGCCCCGCGCAGCCCAUCGAUGACGUCACUGCCGUACGAAGCAGCUGAAUGGCCGGGUUACUAAACCUCACGUCAGGCUUCAGCGGCCGGGCGCAGAGAGCCUAGGUGGCUGAGUCAGGCGCGUAUGCCGCUGAGCUAAAUCCCCAGCCCUGCAAUGCAUUUUUAAAAAUUUAAACACUGAGACAGCGGCCCUUCCAGGGGGAGAACCAGCAGCAGCUCCUGAGACCCACGCCAUGUUGGAACUUAGGACACUGGCAAGCCAAGCAAGCACCUCCCAUCCCUGGUAAGCAGAGGCAGUGUGGCAGACUACAGCCCUUUCAGGGGGAGAACCAGCAGCAACUCCUGAGAUCACGCCAUGUUGGAACUGAGGACGCUGUGAAACCCAACAACCAGCCUGCCUCCCUGCUGGGCAGUAGUGAACCUGCUGAUGCAUGGCCUGGGGUCCGAUAUCCCACUUCCCCUACCCCUCUUCUCCCCCCCCCCAGCCCAUUAGCGGGUGGGAACCAGAAAUCUGAGCAUCUCCAGGGAGGUUGACCAUAGCAAAUUGGGGGGGGGGCUUCCUUCUGCCAUCUCUUUGAAGGCAAAUAUUUUUAUUACUUUUGCUCUUUUCUGAUUGAUGGUAUGGCUCUAUUCAGUAUUCUGUUUUGAUGGAUUCUAUAGUGUUCUAUGUUUCAUCUCAUUUUGAUAUACGUGAUUGAAAGAACAACUAUUAUAAAGAUAACAAAAUAUACUGUGAUACCUAUUACUGUUAUCCCGGUAACCUGCUGUGAAGGUCUGUACCAAUUUCAUUGUACGGUCUUAGUUGGCUUUAUUCUGUCUUGUUCUGUUGUAUUCUUCCAAAAUAAAAUUUUAAAAAAUUUAAA